RNAcentral lists this transfer RNA (72 nucleotides) under Desulfomonile tiedjei DSM 6799. It matches the Rfam family "tRNA". Rfam says of the family: Transfer RNA (tRNA) molecules are approximately 80 nucleotides in length. Their secondary structure includes four short double-helical elements and three loops (D, anti-codon, and T loops). Lineage: Bacteria; Pseudomonadati; Thermodesulfobacteriota; Desulfomonilia; Desulfomonilales; Desulfomonilaceae. The record is from Rfam by way of RNAcentral.
GGGCGGGUAGCUCAGGGGGAGAGCACUGCCUUCACACGGCAGGGGUCGGAGGUUCAAAUCCUCUCCCGCCUA